This 254-nucleotide ribosomal RNA is filed under the name uncultured bacterium. RNAcentral describes it as "partial 16S ribosomal RNA". It matches the Rfam family "Bacterial small subunit ribosomal RNA", at positions 524 to 776 of the family's 1533-position model. The record is from RNAcentral.
UACGGGGGGAGCAAGCGUUGUUCGGAUUUACUGGGCGUAAAGGGCGCGUAGGCGGCCACCGCAAGUCGGUUGUGAAAUCUCUGGGCUUAACCCAGAAAGGUCAACCGAUGCUGCGGGGCUAGAGUGCAGAAGGGGCAACUGGAAUUCUCGGUGUAGCGGUGAAAUGCGUAGAUAUCGAGAGGAACACCUGCGGCGAAGGCGGGUUGCUGGGCUGACACUGACGCUGAAGCGCGAAAGCUAGGGGAGCGAACGGG